UACAACUUUCAGCAACGGAUCUCUUGGCUCUCGCAUCGAUGAAGAACGCAGCGAAAUGCGAUAAGUAAUGUGAAUUGCAGAAUUCAGUGAAUCAUCGAAUCUUUGAACGCACCUUGCGCCCUUUGGCUAUUCCGAAGGGCAUGCCUGUUUGAGUAUCAUG
Molecule: ribosomal RNA, 160 nt
Filed under: uncultured Tomentella
Lineage: Eukaryota; Fungi; Basidiomycota; Agaricomycetes; Thelephorales; Thelephoraceae
Description: 5.8S ribosomal RNA
Rfam family: 5.8S ribosomal RNA
About the family: 5.8S ribosomal RNA (5.8S rRNA) is a component of the large subunit of the eukaryotic ribosome. It is transcribed by RNA polymerase I as part of the 45S precursor that also contains 18S and 28S rRNA.
Source: RNAcentral